RNAcentral lists this small nuclear RNA (107 nucleotides) under Notamacropus eugenii (tammar wallaby). The record is from RNAcentral. Lineage: Eukaryota; Metazoa; Chordata; Mammalia; Diprotodontia; Macropodidae.
GCACUUGUUAUCAUAGCUCAUACACUGAAACCAGAAUGAUGCAAAAGUAAUUAGCAUGGCCCCUGCACUUGGAUGACAUGCAAAUUCUUUAAAAUUCAACAUUUUAC